AUGUUUGGUUGCCAAGUGGGCACCUUACCUAUGAAAUACCUUGGGGUCCCAGUAACAUACUCCGCUCUUAAAAAUGCGGAUUUAGAUUUCCUCGAUGGUAAACUGAUUAAAGAGCUUGAUGCCUGGGUGGCCUACGCGGCUUCUUCCGGGGCUAGACUCACUUUAUUGAGUUCCAACCUUGAUGGGAUUCCAUCUUAUCUCAUGUCGAUGUUUCUUUUCAAUAAAACCUUUAUUGAAAAAAUGGAUAAAUAUCGUAGACGAUUCUUUUGGAGGAGGAAGAACAAGAAACAUGGAUAUCAUAUGGUUAAAUGGGCGAGAGUUUGUCGAUCUAAGAAAAUUGGGGGGCUGGGUAUUAAGGAUCUUCAUAAACAGAAUGUUGCCUUACUUGUUAAAUGGUGGUGGAAGCUCGAAACAAGCGAUGGCUUGUGGCAGCGUAUAGUCAAAGCUAGAUACUUUAAUAACAAGACAAUAGCCAAUAUACGAGGUCGUGUUUCUGAUUCCCCUUGCUGGAAAGCUAUCAUGAAAGUCAAGGACUCAUAUAUGGCUGGUAGGAAAGUCAUCAUCAAUAGUGGUGAUCUGACUAGGGUCUGGCAUGAUCUGUGGAUAGAAAACACCAUUUUGAAAGAUCGAUUCCCUGAUCUGUUCAAUAUUUGCCAUGAUCAGGAAAGUACUCUUGCAUCCUGGGUAACGAAGGGCUAUGAUUUAGACUUCAGACGCAGAUUGACAGGUGUGUUGGGCGAGCAGUGGACUUGGAUGGUCAUGGAGGCUAAAAAGCUCUCGCUGAAUAAUGCCCCAGAUACUAUUUCAUGGGCUUUUAGUAGUAAAGGGAAAUUUACGACUAAAUCGGUGUAUGAAUGGCUGGAAAGAAACCUGGCUGGUCCCAAUUAUAAUUGGGUUUGGAAAGCCCCUGUUCCGUUGAAGAUCAAAAUCUUCUUAUGGCAGUUAUUUCAGAAUGCUGUGUUAACGCGAGACAAUAUGCGCAAUCGGAAGUGGCCUGGGAAUCCUAUGUGUUCCUUUUGUACAAAUAUAGAGACUGCGAACCACUUAUUUUUUACCUGCCCGCUUGCUCGCACAGUUUGGGGCGUGCUGGGAAUGACAGUUGGGGUUUCUUGUUGUCCCCGAUCUCUUUGGCAAAGCUUUGCCUGGUUUUAUAGGUUCUUUCCAGGAGGGGAUCAAUUCUAUAUGAUGAUCACUGCUGCCAUAUGUUGGGAGAUUUGGUGUCUCCGCAAUAAAGUUACCUUUGGCAAUUAUGUAGCUCGUACUCCACUGGAGGCUGUUUUCACUGCCUGCUCGUUUAUGUUGUAUUGGGCAGGUUUGCUCAAAGCUGAAGACAAGGCGAAAUUCCAAGCUGGCGUGAAGAGGCUGGGGCACGUGGCUGCUGCGCUGGCGGACAGACCCUUCUCUCAAGACAGGCUUCUCUUGGGCGACAGGGAUGGGAUCCAGAUUGGUUAG
This 1452-nucleotide ribosomal RNA is filed under the name Triticum aestivum (bread wheat). RNAcentral's name for it is "partial small subunit ribosomal RNA". The record is from RNAcentral. Lineage: Eukaryota; Viridiplantae; Streptophyta; Magnoliopsida; Poales; Poaceae.